CCUACGGGUGGCAGCAGUGGGGAAUAUUGGGCAAUGGGCGCAAGCCUGACCCAGCAACGCCGCGUGAAGGAAGAAGGCUCUCGGGUUGUAAACUUCUUUUAAGAGGGGAGAGCAGAAGACGGUACCUCUUGAAUAAGCCACAGCCAACUACGUGCCAGCAGCCGCGGUAGUACGUAGGUUGCAAGCAUUGUCCGGAUUUACUGGGUGUAAGGGGCGUGUAGGCGGGAAGACAAGUCAGUUGUGAAAUCCCGGGGCUCAACCGCGGAACUGCAGUUGAAACUGUUUUUCUUGAGUACCGGAGAGGUAAUCGGAAUUCCUGGUGUAGCGGUGAAAUGCGUAGAUAUAAGGAAGAACACCAGUGGCGAAGGCGGAUGACUGGACGGCAACUGACGGUGAGGCGCGAAAGCGUGGGGAGCAAACAGGAUUAGAUACCCCAGUAGUC
RNAcentral lists this ribosomal RNA (442 nucleotides) under uncultured bacterium. Its description in RNAcentral is "partial 16S ribosomal RNA". It matches the Rfam family "Bacterial small subunit ribosomal RNA", at positions 338 to 795 of the family's 1533-position model. The record is from RNAcentral.